This 459-nucleotide ribosomal RNA is filed under the name uncultured bacterium. RNAcentral describes it as "partial 16S ribosomal RNA". It matches the Rfam family "Bacterial small subunit ribosomal RNA", at positions 338 to 795 of the family's 1533-position model. The record is from RNAcentral.
CCUACGGGCGGCAGCAGUGAGGAAUAUUGGUCAAUGGGCGCGAGCCUGAACCAGCCAAGCCGCGUGAGGGAAGACGGUCCUACGGAUCGUAAACCUCUUUUGUCGGGGAGCAAAACCCGGCACGCGUCCCCUUCCGAGAGUACCCGAAGAAAAAGCAUCGGCUAACUCCGUGCCAGCAGCCGCGGUAAUACGGAGGAUGCGAGCGUUAUCCGGAUUUAUUGGGUUUAAAGGGUGCGCAGGCGGCAGAUUAAGUCAGCGGUAAAAGUGCGGGGCUCAACCCCUUCGAGCCGUUGAAACUGGUAGUCUUGAGUGAGAGAGAAGUAUGCGGAAUGCGUGGUGUAGCGGUGAAAUGCAUAGAUAUCGCGCAGAACUCCGAUUGCGAAGGCAGCAUGCCGGCGCUAAACUGACGCUCAGGCACGAAAGUGUGGGUAUCGAACAGGAUUAGAUACCCCGGUAGUC